ACUCCUACGGGAGGCAGCAGUGAGGAAUAUUGGUCAAUGGGCGCGAGCCUGAACCAGCCACGUCGCGUGAAGGAUGACGGCCUUAUGGGUUGUAAACUUCUUUUACAGGGGAAUAAAGUGAGUCACGUGUGAUUUUUUGCAUGUACCCUGUGAAUAAGCAUCGGCUAACUCCGUGCCAGCAGCCGCGGUAAUACGGAGGAUGCGAGCGUUAUCCGGAUUUAUUGGGUUUAAAGGGUGCGUAGGCGGGAUAUUAAGUCAGCGGUGAAAGUUUUCGGCUCAACCUUAAAAUUGCCGUUGAAACUGUUAUUCUUGAGUGCAGUAGAGGUAGGCGGAAUUCGUUGUGUAGCGGUGAAAUGCGUAGAUAUAACGAGGAACUCCGAUUGCGUAGGCAGCUUACUAUAUUGCUACUGACGCUGAGGCACGAAAGUGUGGGUAUCAAACAGGAUUAGAUACCCUGGUAGUC
RNAcentral lists this ribosomal RNA (463 nucleotides) under uncultured bacterium. Its description in RNAcentral is "bacterial SSU rRNA". It matches the Rfam family "Bacterial small subunit ribosomal RNA", at positions 335 to 795 of the family's 1533-position model. The record is from RNAcentral.